Molecule: long non-coding RNA, 792 nt
Organism: Sapajus apella (tufted capuchin)
Lineage: Eukaryota; Metazoa; Chordata; Mammalia; Primates; Cebidae
Exons: 3
Source: RefSeq, a predicted model, not a curated record
GUCUCAACUCGGUUGACUAUCUCUGUUCCAUAUAUCUCAACCUCUAGCUGGCAAGAAGUCUAAUGGGAACUAAUGUUAUUCUAAUGGGAAGACAAGAGUGGAGAAAGCAUAAACAUCAAGCAGCUUUUAGUCAUAGGUUUGUUUCUAGUUUGCUGUUGGUCUAUUGGCCAAAACAACUCAUGGGGCCAAACCCAAAGUCCAGGUAGGAGGGCAAUACAAAAGGCAUAAAUGGAGGAAUAUGUGAGAGAUUGGAGCCUAACCAAAUCACUUUUCCAUAAUCUUUCUUCUGGCCACAGGUAUUUAUAUCUCUUCCGUGUGCUUAAUAGCUGUUACUACUAUUCAAUUCCCCUUCAAUGAUCCAUAUGAUCAUUCAUCAUUGCACUGGACUUAGAGCUUAGGAACUCAUCAUUUAAAAGAGGUCCAGAUAUAGCUUCCCUUUAUCCAAGGACCUAUAAACUAAAAAGACAAGUUAACUAUCCUCCAACUCUUCACAUGCUCAUAUGAUAAUGAAAGAAAUACAAAAUAGCUGCAGUAGGCCACCCCACAUAAAAAGUAGAAGGUUGGGAUGCACACAACCUUUAAUAAAGAUACUAAUUAUUCUCAGCAAACUAACACAGGAACAGAAAACCAAACACUGUAUGUUCUUACUAAUAAGUGGGAGCUGAACAAUGAGAACACAUGAACACAGGGAGGGAAACAUCAAACACUGAGGCCUGUCGGAGGGCUGGGGGCUAGGGGAAGGAUAGCAUUAGGAGAAAUAUUUAAUGUAGAUGAUGGGCUGACGGGUGCAGC